Molecule: long non-coding RNA, 550 nt
Organism: Micropterus dolomieu (smallmouth bass)
Lineage: Eukaryota; Metazoa; Chordata; Actinopteri; Centrarchiformes; Centrarchidae
Exons: 6
Source: RefSeq, a predicted model, not a curated record
CGUCUCGUGUCACUGUCUCGCACUUGACAAUCAAGGACUUUUUAUGCUUUUCGUCAGAGCUGUGUGGAAUGAAAAUGGGAAGGAGAUGGAGGGGACCAUCCCUGAUGCCUGGGUGAAUGUUGCUGAAAAAACCCUUCGAUGGCCAAAGACGAGGGCAAAAUAUUGUUUCGACAACCAUGUGGCUCCGAAGGAGGAUUGGGAAACUUUCCCAUUGGUGAAAGUGAAAUUUACCUCAGAAAGUCUCCGUGAGUGUGAAGAACAUGAUCACACCAGCCAUGCUGAACAAUUAGAAGAUGAAGAUGAAGAUGAAGACGGAGAGGUUGUAGUGCAAAAGAGAAAGAAAAAAAACUAAAACUUUUGAAGAUUUUGUUGAAGGAUCAGACCUGUCUGAGGCAUCUGCUGAGGGGGAGGAUAAAGAGGAGUGGAAAGGAGAUGCCAGUCCUAUAAUUCCAGUCUUUCCCACCCCACCAAUCAAAAUUUCAAAAAAUGUGGGCCGUGACAGAUCAAAUAGUGGUGAGUAGAGCUGUCAAUCUUCCAAUUUAAUACCAUU